RNAcentral lists this unclassified non-coding RNA (346 nucleotides) under soil metagenome. RNAcentral's name for it is "partial contains 5.8S ribosomal RNA, internal transcribed spacer 2, and large subunit ribosomal RNA". The stretch from base 1 to 120 matches the Rfam family "5.8S ribosomal RNA", at positions 35 to 154 of the family's 154-position model. The record is from RNAcentral.
GAUGAAGAACGCAGCGAAAUGCGAUACUUGGUGUGAAUUGCAGAAUCCCGUGAACCAUCGAGUCUUUGAACGCACAUUGCGCCCCCUGGUAUUCCGGGGGGCAUGCCUGUCCGAGCGUCAUUGCUGCCCUCAAGCACGGCUUGUGUGUUGGGCCCCGUCCUCCGAUCCCGGGGGACGGGCCCGAAAGGCAGCGGCGGCACCGCGUCCGGUCCUCGAGCGUAUGGGGCUUUGUCACCCGCUCUGUAGGCCCGGCCGGCGCUUGCCGAUCAACCCAAAUUUUUAUCCAGGUUGACCUCGGAUCAGGUAGGGAUACCCGCUGAACUUAAGCAUAUCAAUAAGCGGAGGA